Long non-coding RNA from Rhinopithecus roxellana (golden snub-nosed monkey), 1404 nucleotides. RefSeq lists it as uncharacterized. NCBI's taxonomy places the organism in Eukaryota, Metazoa, Chordata, Mammalia, Primates, Cercopithecidae. The record is from RefSeq and is a predicted model, not a curated record. The transcript is spliced from 3 exons.
GCUGGGCCAGACGUUGAUGGGAAAUGGCUGACUGCAGGAUAAACAAGCAGCUCCCUUUUUGGUGAGCUUCAGAGGAAGCAGGUGGACAGAAUCAAGGCUUCAGAAGCCAUAGGAAACUAAUUCAGAUGUAGCAGUGAGUGAUGUGAUGACUGGAGUGGCAGCAGCUAUCUUGAAACUAUGAGGACACAAACCUGAGGAUAAAAUUAAAUUCAAUAUCCUGGAGAAGACAGAGUGGAAAGAUGGAAAGACCUGUUGAAUUAGCCACGUAUCACUCAACCUUUUGACUUCUUAUCAUCAUGUAAGAUAGCCUCCUUUUGGUUGUUUAAGACUUUAGAACAGAAACUUGCUAGUGGAGCAAGAUGAAGGAGGAAAAAGAGCUGGAAGACGCGUGUCUACACUGAGGGCAGGAUGGAAUCUACAGAGCGCCUCUGCCACUGUGCUUACCGUGUGGUUCCCUUUCUCCCUGCACUUGGAUCAGACACGUAAGAUUCACCAGAUGUGCAACCUUUGGAACCAGCUGGAAAAACCAGAAACCCAAAGCCAUAGUAGACACUUCCAUAGGGAUUUCCUACCUCUUUUGGUCUGGACUGACCCAAUGAUGAGUUAUUGAAUUUGACCCUCGAUUGUAUUUCUGAAGCUCCAGGUUGGAAAUGGGGUGAGUAAGUGAGAAGGAGCCGCCCUGACUCCGGCUCCUCCCCACACCCAAACUCUUCUCACCCUUCCCAGCUGUCUCAGACACAGGCUUGGGGAAGGAAGAGAUACACGCAGGGAAUGGGAAAGAGGAUUAGGAAAAGGUGUGGAGAUGGGAAAAGGAAGGGAGAAGAGUGGGAGAGAGGAGAAGGGAAAUCAGGGGACGUACUCCAGAGCAAAUUUUUACCAGAUGAAGAGAAAAAAAGAGGAAAGGCUGUUUAGCUUUCACUCCACCUCACGCAUGGAUUUAGGAGAACAUGACUACAGGACUCAGUUUUUGAAACUGUAGCUUCUGGAAGCUACAGUUCUGAGUUUCUGAGUUUCAUGAAAAAUGAAAAGUACCUGAGGAAAAUGCUAAAUAUUAUUCCAGAAUCAUAGAACAAGGACUGCUCACUUUAGACAGGUUAAUGUGUAGCUCUUGGAUAAAAAUUUAGAAAGAGGCAGCUGGUUGGAAAGUCCAGCAGGGGCACCAAGCCAAAGACCUGGAGCAGCUCGCAGCCCAGCCUUACACUGGAGUAACCUGAGCCCUCAGAGAAUCCAGGAGGUGAGGCUACAAUCCAGCAUUCUAUUUUUAAUUCACAGUGUGGAGAUAAGAGUUAAAUAUAAAGCAGAUUAAGACUUCCCUUAAAUCUCCUCUAUAAAAGAAAAACUGGAAUUAAUCUACAGGAGCACUCCAUGGAUAGCUCAAUACCAUCAUUUUUUAAGAAUAAAAUU